Molecule: ribosomal RNA, 274 nt
Filed under: uncultured bacterium
Lineage: Bacteria
Description: partial 16S ribosomal RNA
Rfam family: Bacterial small subunit ribosomal RNA
Source: RNAcentral
AUACGGAGGGUGCAAGCGUUGUUCGGAUUUAUUGGGCGUAAAGCGAGUGUAGGCGGUUUGACAAGUCGAAUGUGAAAUCCCGAGGCCCAACCUCGGAACUGCAUCCGAAACUGUCAGGCUAGAGUCCCGGAGAGGGUGGCGGAAUUCCCGGUGUAGGGGUGAAAUCCGUAGAUAUCGGGAGGAACACCAGUGGCGAAGGCGGCCACCUGGACGGUGACUGACGCUGAGACUCGAAAGCGUGGGUAGCAAACAGGAUUAGAAACCCCAGUAGUCC